AGCUUUGCACAGUGGCAGUAUCGUAGCCAAUGAGGUUUAUCCGAGGCACAAUUAUUGCUAAUCGAAAACUUUCCCAAUACCCCGUCGUGACAACUUGCAACACAGUCAGCACUGGCAAUUUUUGACAGUCUCUACGGAGA
Molecule: small nuclear RNA, 140 nt
Filed under: Cebus imitator (Panamanian white-faced capuchin)
Lineage: Eukaryota; Metazoa; Chordata; Mammalia; Primates; Cebidae
Description: U4 spliceosomal RNA (ENSCCAG00000013937.1)
Rfam family: U4 spliceosomal RNA
About the family: U4 small nuclear RNA (U4 snRNA) is a component of the major U2-dependent spliceosome. The structure of U4 snRNA from yeast and human has been reported.
Source: Rfam by way of RNAcentral